CCAGCAGCUGCGGUAAUUCCGGCGCCAAUAGCGUAUAUUGAAGUUGUUGCAGUUAAAACGCUCGUAGUCUGAGAUGGAGUGUGUGGGGGUGUGGGUCGAUAGAUUUGCAUACCCGCGCACUCGUUCUGACAGCAAUGUCGGGGUUACUUUGAGGAAAUUAGGGUGUUCAAGGCAGGCGUGUGCUUGGAUAUCGCAGCAUGGAAUAACGGAGUAGGAUUCGCUUCUUAUUUUGUUGGUUUGGGGGAGUGAGUAAUGAUUAAUAGGUGCAGUUGGGGGCAUUGGUAUUUGGUAGUCAGAGGUGAAAUUCUUGGAUUUACCAAAGACUAGCUGGGGCGAAAGCGUUUGCCAAGGAUGUUUUCAUUGAUGAAGAACGAAAGU
RNAcentral lists this ribosomal RNA (378 nucleotides) under uncultured eukaryote. Its description in RNAcentral is "SSU rRNA". It matches the Rfam family "Eukaryotic small subunit ribosomal RNA", at positions 567 to 990 of the family's 1831-position model. The record is from RNAcentral.